UUCUGCUUUCAAUCCUAAUUCCAUCAACACUUCAGAGAUGGAAGGAUGUGCGUGUGUUGUUAGUCCUAAUUCUAAUGCCGAGCCAUUCAUGAACUGUAACAGUGAUGCCUCAUUAAUCAAUUCUGUUACAUGUGGACCAAUCAU
RNAcentral lists this small RNA (144 nucleotides) under Staphylococcus aureus. RNAcentral describes it as "Transcript". Lineage: Bacteria; Bacillati; Bacillota; Bacilli; Caryophanales; Staphylococcaceae. The record is from RNAcentral.